RNAcentral lists this ribosomal RNA (497 nucleotides) under uncultured bacterium. Its description in RNAcentral is "partial 16S ribosomal RNA". It matches the Rfam family "Bacterial small subunit ribosomal RNA", at positions 28 to 507 of the family's 1533-position model. The record is from RNAcentral.
GAUGAACGCUGGCGGCGUGCCUAAUACAUGCAAGUCGAGCGAACGGACGAGAAGCUUGCUUCUCUGAUGUUAGCGGCGGACGGGUGAGUAACACGUGGAUAACCUACCUAUAAGACUGGGAUAACUUCGGGAAACCGGAGCUAAUACCGGAUAAUAUUUUGAACCGCAUGGUUCAAAAGUAAAAGACGGUCUUGCUGUCACUUAUAGAUGGAUCCGCGCUGCAUUAGCUAGUUGGUAAGGUAACGGCUUACCAAGGCAACGAUGCAUAGCCGACCUGAGAGGGUGAUCGGCCACGCUGGAACUGGGACACGGUCCAGACUCCUACGGGAGGCAGCAGUAGGGAAUCUUCCGCAAUGGGCGAAAGCCUGACGGAGCAACGCCGCGUGAGUGAUGAAGGUCUUCGGAUCGUAAAACUCUGUUAUUAGGGAAGAACAUAUGUGUAAGUAACUGUGCACAUCUUGACGGUACCUAAUCAGAAAGCCACGGCUAACUACGUG